AGAGUUUGAUCAUGGCUCAGAACGAACGUUGGCGGCGUGGAUUAGGCAUGCAAGUCGAACGAAUCCCACCGGGCUUGCUCGGUGGGGGAAGUGGCGAAAGGGGCAGUAAGGCGUGGGUAACCUACCCCCGGGACGGGGAUAGCCGCCCUAACGGGCGGGUAAUACCCGGCGAGCUCGCGGGGCCGCAUGGCCCGGCGAGGAAACGAGUUUCGCCUGGGGAGGGGCUCACGUGGUAUUAGCUGGUUGGUGGGGUAACGGCCCCCAAGGCGAAGAUGCCUAGCUGGUGUGAGAGCAUGACCAGCGCCACUGGCACUGCGACACUGGCCAGACACCUACGGGUGGCUGCAGUCGAGGAUCUUCGGCAAUGGGCGCAAGCCUGACCGAGCGACCCGCGUGCGCGAUGAAGGCCUUCGGGUUGUAAAGCGCUGUCGUGGGGGAGGAACGCCCGCAAGGGCCUGACCUAUCCCAGGAGGAAGCACGGGCUAAGUUCGUGCCUGCAGCCGCGGUAAGACGAACCGUGCGAACGUUGUUCGGAAUCACUGGGCUUAAAGGGCGCGUAGGCGGGCCACCCAGUCCGGGGUGAAAGCUUUCGGCUCAACCGGAAAAGGGCCUCGGAGACGAGUGGCCUGGAGGGAGGUAGGGGUCCGCGGAACUGCUGGUGGAGCGGUGAAAUGCGUUGAUAUCAGCAGGAACGCCGGUGGCGAAAGCGGCGGACUGGACCUCUUCUGACGCUGAGGCGCGAAAGCCAGGGGAGCGAACGGGAUUAGAUACCCUAGUAGUCC
RNAcentral lists this ribosomal RNA (782 nucleotides) under uncultured bacterium. RNAcentral's name for it is "bacterial SSU rRNA". It matches the Rfam family "Bacterial small subunit ribosomal RNA", at positions 8 to 796 of the family's 1533-position model. The record is from RNAcentral.